This is a long non-coding RNA of Numida meleagris (helmeted guineafowl), 351 nucleotides long. RefSeq lists it as uncharacterized. The transcript has 4 exons. Lineage: Eukaryota; Metazoa; Chordata; Aves; Galliformes; Numididae. The record is from RefSeq and is a predicted model, not a curated record.
CCUCUCUGCAGAUGUUUAUUUGGCCAGGCCAGGAUACUACUCACAGUGACCUAAUCCUUCCUGUCCUAAUGUCAGCCUAUGUGCAGGUGGUUGCUCACAUGGACAUUUUGACUGAUUUCACUGCUAACUGCAUACAAGUUCACUCUAAAUAUCAUUGGAGGAAAGUCAACAUCAGAACCUGAAGUGAAGCUGUGAAGUUUUUGCAGAUGUGCCAUAUCAACUGAAGGGAUUAAAAGGAAAGUCCUUCUGGGGCUAAUUUUACACAAACAAGCCCAAUGAAUUAGCAAUGAAAACUCUUCAACCUGCUGGAUAAAGUAUCUGUAUAAAAUUGAAAUACAAAUAAUAAUAUUA